This 76-nucleotide transfer RNA is filed under the name Chloroflexota bacterium. RNAcentral describes it as "Chloroflexi bacterium tRNA-Lys". It matches the Rfam family "tRNA". Rfam says of the family: Transfer RNA (tRNA) molecules are approximately 80 nucleotides in length. Their secondary structure includes four short double-helical elements and three loops (D, anti-codon, and T loops). RNAcentral also lists the same sequence under 1 other name. The record is from RNAcentral. Lineage: Bacteria; Bacillati; Chloroflexota.
GGGCCGGUAGCUCAGUUGGUAGAGCAAAUGACUCUUAAUCAUUAGGUCGUGGGUUCGAACCCCUCCCGGCUCACCA